GCGCCUGUAGCUCAGCGGAUUAGAGCAUCGGCCUCCGGAGCCGAGGGUCACCCGUUCAAAUCGGGUCAGGCGCG
This 74-nucleotide transfer RNA is filed under the name Nitrospirota bacterium. RNAcentral describes it as "Nitrospirae bacterium (sediment metagenome) tRNA-Arg". It matches the Rfam family "tRNA". Rfam says of the family: Transfer RNA (tRNA) molecules are approximately 80 nucleotides in length. Their secondary structure includes four short double-helical elements and three loops (D, anti-codon, and T loops). The record is from RNAcentral. Lineage: Bacteria; Pseudomonadati; Nitrospirota.